Non-coding RNA from Lentinula novae-zelandiae, 97 nucleotides. The record is from the annotation of a GenBank genome assembly. Lineage: Eukaryota; Fungi; Basidiomycota; Agaricomycetes; Agaricales; Omphalotaceae.
UCCCUGGUAGUAUAUCGGUUUAGUACACGCGCCUGUCAUCACCAAUUGCCACUAGUCUCAUCCGCGCGAAAGCUGGGUUCGACUCCCAGCCAGGGAG